RNAcentral lists this ribosomal RNA (2889 nucleotides) under Streptococcus dysgalactiae subsp. equisimilis. RNAcentral describes it as "23S ribosomal RNA". It matches the Rfam family "Bacterial large subunit ribosomal RNA". The record is from RNAcentral. Lineage: Bacteria; Bacillati; Bacillota; Bacilli; Lactobacillales; Streptococcaceae.
UCAAGUGAAGAAGCGCAUACGGUGGAUGCCUUGGCAGUCAGAGGCGAUGAAAGACGUGGUAGCCUGCGAUAAGCUUCGGGGAGUCGGCAAACAGACUUUGAUCCGGAGAUCUCUGAAUGGGGGAACCCACCUAGGAUAACCUAGGUAUCUUGUACUGAAUCCAUAGGUGCAAGAGGCGAACCAGGGGAACUGAAACAUCUAAGUACCCUGAGGAAAAGAAAUCAACCGAGAUUCCCUUAGUAGUGGCGAGCGAACGGGGAUUAGCCCUUAAGCUUCAUUGAUUUUAGCGGAACGCUCUGGAAAGUGCGGCCAUAGUGGGUGAUAGCCCCGUACGCGAAAGGAUCUUUGAAGUGAAAUCGAGUAGGACGGAGCACGAGAAACUUUGUCUGAACAUGGGGGGACCAUCCUCCAAGGCUAAAUACUACUGACUGACCGAUAGUGAACCAGUACCGUGAGGGAAAGGCGAAAAGAACCCCGGAGAGGGGAGUGAAAUAGAACCUGAAACCGUAUGCGUACAAGCAGUGGGAGCCUACUUGUUAGGUGACUGCGUACCUUUUGUAUAAUGGGUCAGCGACUUAUAUUCAGUGGCGAGCUUAACCGAAUAGGGUAGGCGUAGCGAAAGCGAGUCUUAAUAGGGCGUUUAGUCGCUGGGUAUAGACCCGAAACCGGGCGAUCUAUCCAUGAGCAGGUUGAAGGUUAGGUAACACUGACUGGAGGACCGAACCCACUCCCGUUGAAAAGGUAGGGGAUGACUUGUGGAUCGGAGUGAAAGGCUAAUCAAGCUCGGAGAUAGCUGGUUCUCCUCGAAAGCUAUUUAGGUAGCGCCUCAUGUAUCACUCUGGGGGGUAGAGCACUGUUUCGGCUAGGGGGUCAUCCCGACUUACCAAACCGAUGCAAACUCCGAAUACCCAGAAGUGCCGAGCAUGGGAGACACACGGCGGGUGCUAACGUCCGUCGUGAAAAGGGAAACAACCCAGACCGCCAGCUAAGGUCCCAAAGUUGUGGUUAAGUGGUAAACGAUGUGGGAAGGCUUAGACAGCUAGGAGGUUGGCUUAGAAGCAGCCAUCCUUUAAAGAAAGCGUAAUAGCUCACUAGUCGAGUCGGCCUGCGCGGAAGAUGUAACGGGGCUCAAACCACACACCGAAGCUGCGGGUGUCACGUAAGUGACGCGGUAGAGGAGCGUUCUGUAAGCCUGUGAAGGUGAGUUGAGAAGCUUGCUGGAGGUAUCAGAAGUGCGAAUGCUGACAUGAGUAACGACAAUGGGUGUGAAAAACACCCACGCCGAAAGACCAAGGGUUCCUGCGCAACGUUAAUCGACGCAGGGUUAGUCGGUUCCUAAGGCGAGGCUGAAAAGCGUAGUCGAUGGGAAACAGGUUAAUAUUCCUGUACUUCUGGUUACUGCGAUGGAGGGACGGAGAAGGCUAGGCCAGCUUGGCGUUGGUUGUCCAAGUUUAAGGUGGUAGGCUGAAAUCUUAGGUAAAUCCGGGGUUUCAAGGCCGAGAGCUGAUGACGAGUCGUCUUUUAGAUGACAAAGUGGUUGAUGCCAUGCUUCCAAGAAAAGCUUCUAAGCUUCAGGUAACCAGGAACCGUACCCCAAACCGACACAGGUGGUCGGGUAGAGAAUACCAAGGCGCUUGAGAGAACUCGGGUGAAGGAACUAGGCAAAAUGGCACCGUAACUUCGGGAGAAGGUGCGCCGGCUAGGGUGAAGGAUUUACUCCGUAAGCUCUGGCUGGUCGAAGAUACCAGGCCGCUGCGACUGUUUAUUAAAAACACAGCACUCUGCAAACACGAAAGUGGACGUAUAGGGUGUGACGCCUGCCCGGUGCCGGAAGGUUAAUUGAUGGGGUUAGCGCAAGCGAAGCUCUUGAUCGAAGCCCCGGUAAACGGCGGCCGUAACUAUAACGGUCCUAAGGUAGCGAAAUUCCUUGUCGGGUAAGUUCCGACCUGCACGAAUGGCGUAACGAUGGCGGCGCUGUCUCCACCCGAGACUCAGUGAAAUUGAAAUCGCUGUGAAGAUGCAGUGUAUCCGCGGCUAGACGGAAAGACCCCGUGAACCUUUACUGUAGCUUUGCACUGGACUUUGAGCCUGCUUGUGUAGGAUAGGUGGGAGGCUUUGAAGCGUGGACGCCAGUUCGCGUGGAGCCAUCCUUGAAAUACCACCCUGGCAUGCUUGAGGUUCUAACUCUGGUCCGUGAUCCGGAUCGAGGACAGUGUAUGGUGGGCAGUUUGACUGGGGCGGUCUCCUCCUAAAGAGUAACGGAGGAGUACGAAGGUGCGCUCAGACCGGUCGGAAAUCGGUCGCAGAGUAUAAAGGCAAAAGCGCGCUUGACUGCGAGACAGACACGUCGAGCAGGUACGAAAGUAGGUCUUAGUGAUCCGGUGGUUCUGUAUGGAAGGGCCAUCGCUCAACGGAUAAAAGGUACUCCGGGGAUAACAGGCUGAUACCGCCCAAGAGUUCAUAUCGACGGCGGUGUUUGGCACCUCGAUGUCGGCUCAUCACAUCCUGGGGCUGAAGCCGGUCCCAAGGGUAUGGCUGUUCGCCAUUUAAAGUGGUACGCGAGCUGGGUUUAGAACGUCGUGAGACAGUUCGGUCCCUAUCUGCCGUGGACGUUUGAGAUUUGAGAGGGGCUGCUCCUAGUACGAGAGGACCGGAGUGGACGAACCUCUGGUGUUCCGGUUGUCACGCCAGUGGCAUUGCCGGGUAGCUAUGUUCGGAAAAGAUAACCGCUGAAAGCAUCUAAGCGGGAAACUUGCCUCAAGAUGAGAUCUCACUGGGAACUUGAUUCCCCUGAAGGGCCGUCGAAGACUACGACGUUGAUAGGCUGGGUGUGUAAGCGUUGUGAGGCGUUGAGCUAACCAGUACUAAUUGCCCGUGAGGCUUGACCAU